Vespa mandarinia (Asian giant hornet) is the source of this 3072-nucleotide long non-coding RNA. The record is from RefSeq and is a predicted model, not a curated record. Lineage: Eukaryota; Metazoa; Arthropoda; Insecta; Hymenoptera; Vespidae.
UGAUAAAUCGUUAAUGAAGUGAAAUAUUAAAAGAGAGAAAUGAUGCAAUUAUUGUUGAUACGAGACAAUGGAACGUACGAUGAAUGUGACAGUGGAGCCUAUACUUAUAGUAGUCGCAUGCGUGAUUUGAAAAAAAAAAAAAAAAAAAAAGAAAAAAAGAAAAAUCGUUGAUCUCGGCAACGGUGAAUGCCUUUACUGCCAUCAUCCAUUAAACCAACCAACAACAACCAUUACCUCAGUCGACGGCGAAUAUCGAGGGAACAGAAUUAUGGAGAAAAAAAAAAAUAGACGCGUUUCAUCGACGCAUUCGACACACGAAAGUUCAGAUGUCAAUUUUUAUGCGAAUCAUUUUCGAUAGUCGGUGCUUUGAGAGAAUUCUUUAAAAAGUUGUCUAUUAAAUUCAUUCUUUUUAAUCAUUUCUACGAAUUUAUCAAAAGAUUAGAAUUAAUCAUAUAUUAUAUACAGGGUGUUUCAACUAAUUUAUUUCUAUUUCGAGUACGUAAAAAUGUUCGUACAAAUAAUAUUGACCAUCAGUUUGAAAUUUUGAAAGAAAUGUUAUCUUUUUUAUUUUUUGUUUUUAUUUAUUGUUCUCUUUCUCUUAUAUUAUUUUUUCAAAAUUCAUGGGACCCGCGCAUAUUUCAUAGCGCUUUUACGAAGGUCGAUAGCCUUAUCUCUGGCGUGUACCGGCGUCUUGUUCUUCCAGUACAUACUUAUACGUAUGUAAUACGUGUAAAUAUACUCACAUAUAUCGCAUAUGUAUAUUUAUAUUUGUAUAUUUUAUCCAUGUACAUUGAUUCGUAUAAUGUACAAGUAUAAAUAUGCAUAUAUAUUAUAAUGGAUGUACGAUUACUAUUGUUGGCCAGUGUGCCAAGAAUGCGUUGAAACCGUAAGUCAGUGUAUUUAGAUUUUACGAGAGAAAACCAAGUGGAGUUCUAUGAGAUUUUCCAAAGGUGGCAAUGAUCAUUAGAACAUUGUUACGAUUAAAACGAUGAUCGUCUGGACUUUAAUCGUUUAUUCGUGUAUUUCCUCCUCACGAAUGAAUAAUGCAAUGAGGUUUCGAUCAUAUAUUUUAACAAGAAUCUUAGGACAUGAGAUAUUCGAUCUCGAUGCUUGCAAAUAUUGUGCCCGAAUCGAUACAUUUACUUUGUACAAACUAAUAGAGUUUAAUAUUUAAUUAUUUAUUUAUUUAUUUAUUUAUUUAUUUAUUUAUUUAUUUAUUUAUUAUAAGGAUUACAUUGAUUGUAACAAAUUAAUUUUUUUCCCAAGACAUAAAAUCUCAUAGAUUUUUAUUAUUUCUCUGACGAUUUAUUGUAAAGAAGAAUGAUUGAUGGACAUGACUCUAGAAACCUUCACUCUAGAAUCUCUCGUAUCUUUGUCUCUCCUCUCUUACCUUCCUUUGCUCCAAAAAUUUGUAUAUAUAUACACACACACCACACACAUACACAUAUUUCAAUUCCGUUUUGGUGUGAUAUGGUACAUAUCGUUGUUAAUGAGAUGAAAAGAAAAAAGAAAACUUUGUUGAAUUUGCUACCUGUCUAAGUAUAAAAAAGAGAGAGAGAAAGAGAUAUAGAGACUAGAGAACACACCAACGUGGCCUUGACACGUUUCAUUUCUUUCCCUUUUUCUAAGAAAAACAAAUUGAAAACAAAAUUGAAAAAAAAACGCUUUACGUAGUAAAAUUAUUGUCGACUCAAAUUCAAUUAAAGUAAUUUAGAUUGAUCGACGAGUAUUCAGAAGUGAGACAGUUGAUUAAUUAGCAUUGCAUAUAAUUAUGCAAUGAAUUCUUUAACAUGGGAAAACCAAUAGGAUCAUCGUUGAUGCUACUUUCUCUUUUUCUACGAUUAGUACUUUACUGAGUACUAAUUUUUUUCUUUUUCUUUUCUUUUUAUUUUUUUGUUCUUUCUCUCUUUUUAAUGAAACGAACGAAGGCAAUAAGAAACUAGCUAGUUAAUGUCGACUCGACGUGUACUUUUUUACAACUUCUUAUUCACUAAUUCUCUCAUAUCGUACAAACUUUAACAAAUAAAAAAGAAAAGAGACCAAAUCGAAAGAAAAGUAAAAUUUGUAUUGUUCUCUUAUUAGAGAUUAUUAUUAGGACAAAUUCGAGUUACGAAAGAAGAAUGAAAGAGAGACAAAGAGGGAGGGAGGGAGAGAGGACGUCACUCGCGUUACGUGUCAAAAUCAAAAAUUAUUCGUGCGGGAGAAAAAAGCGGCAAUAAGAUAAAUAACAAAAAUGCGCAGUCUUCCAAGAUCGUCGCGUUUAGGAAAGCAGAGGAAAUAAAAAGAAUGAAAUAAAAUAAAAUAAAAUAAAAUAAAAUAAAAUAAAAUACUUGAAUCGGGAAUCGAAACUCGCGUUGACCCUAUAACAUUAUUACAUAGUCAAGUUAUGUAAAUAUACGUGUAUGUUAUGUGUGUGUGUGUGGGUGUAUAUAUAUAUAUAUAUAUAUAUAUAUAUAUAUAUAUAUAUAUAUAUCACACUGACACACGUGUAGUAUAUAUUUCUUUUGUAAAUAGUUUCCUCUUAAGCGAGCUAAGCCUUAUUCUAACCGGACGAAGAUACUCUCGGUGAGAGUAAUUACAAGAGUUAAUCGAUGAAAUUUCAUUAACGAUACGAUAUCGAAUCUAAACCGUGCGAGAAUGAUCGUCAAUUUUCCCGUAUAUAAUGAUAUAACGUAUAAAUUUGUUUGUAUUCUUUUUUCAAAUUUUACUCACACAUGCGUAUGAUGACGCUAUACGUGUCUGGACAGCAAGUUAACAAUUAGAAAAUCAUUUAGAGAAGAAAAUACGUCACGGUUUUGAUCGUCGAUAUCGACUUAUUUCUCUAGAGAGAUUUAGAAAUUAGAUUUAGAUCUUAGAAUCCCACUCUCGCAAAAUUUCGUCGUUUGUGCGAAUAUUAACUAUUCGAUAUUAGAUAAGAUAAGGAAGAAAAAGUAAUCGUUGUUUGUAUCAAGAGACAUUGUGAAAUUUAGUCCUAUCGACGAAAAAUUGCAGAACCCGGAACACACUUCCUUGUAAUUUAGUAUAUGUAGCAGGUAGAAAGUUAUCUUAAAUAGAAAAGAAAAAAAAAAGGAA